This 277-nucleotide ribosomal RNA is filed under the name uncultured Prevotella sp. RNAcentral describes it as "partial 16S ribosomal RNA". It matches the Rfam family "Bacterial small subunit ribosomal RNA", at positions 79 to 354 of the family's 1533-position model. The record is from RNAcentral. Lineage: Bacteria; Pseudomonadati; Bacteroidota; Bacteroidia; Bacteroidales; Prevotellaceae.
CUUUCCUUGAUGACGACUGGCGCACGGGUGAGUAACGCGUAUCCAACCUUCCCAUAACUACGGGAUAACCCGUUGAAAGACGGCCUAAUACCGUAUGAUAUCGUUUGCUGACAUCAAAUAACGAUUAAAGGUUUAGCGGUUAUGGAUGGGGAUGCGUCUGAUUAGCUUGUUGGCGGGGUAACGGCCCACCAAGGCAACGAUCAGUAGGGGUUCUGAGAGGAAGGUCCCCCACAUUGGAACUGAGACACGGUCCAAACUCCUACGGGAGGCAGCAGAC